RNAcentral lists this small RNA (124 nucleotides) under Marmota monax (woodchuck). Lineage: Eukaryota; Metazoa; Chordata; Mammalia; Rodentia; Sciuridae. The record is from RNAcentral.
GUCAGGCAGGGUGGCCCACGCCUGUCAUCCCAGUGGCUCGGAGGCUGAGGCAGGAGGAUCGCAAGGUGGAGGCCAGCCUCAGCCAAAGCGAGGCCCUAAGCAACUCAGCGAGACCCUGUCUCUA